AUGCCUUCUUUUCUUGCACCAUAUCGAGGAGUUCGGUAUCACCUGAGUGAAUUUAGGAGGCGGCGCUCAUCUAAUACGGGCUAUGCCAACCAUAGGGAGCCGUUCAACCAUACCCAUGCAAUCCUCCGGAACCACAUCGAAAGGAUCAUUGGUGUUCUGAAAAAACGUUUCCCUAUCUUGAAAGUGGGCAAUCACUACCCAAUAGAGUCACAAAUCAAGAUUCUGGCGGCAUGUGCUGUAUUCCAUAACAUCAUUAGAGCUCAAAGUGGUGAUGAGGCAUGGUUGGAUCACCAACCACCGUUAAUUCCACCAGAAAAAUAUGUUGAUGUUCCAUAG
Molecule: ribosomal RNA, 336 nt
Filed under: Triticum aestivum (bread wheat)
Lineage: Eukaryota; Viridiplantae; Streptophyta; Magnoliopsida; Poales; Poaceae
Description: partial small subunit ribosomal RNA
Source: RNAcentral